Long non-coding RNA from Myotis brandtii (Brandt's bat), 430 nucleotides. RefSeq lists it as uncharacterized. Lineage: Eukaryota; Metazoa; Chordata; Mammalia; Chiroptera; Vespertilionidae. The transcript has 2 exons. The record is from RefSeq and is a predicted model, not a curated record.
CUGCAAGGCAGGCAGUGCUUCCCGUUCGCCGGGGAGUUCAAGCAAAGCCCCGAGAAAGCAGUUAUUUGCUUUUCAACUCGCUACACGGCCCCUCUAUCCCGACGCAGCUCAGAGGCAAACGACGUUAGUUCUUCACUCAAGGGCACCGCAGGCACCAAAGUGCGGCCGUCCCCCGGGUCCGGGCGCCUUCCGAGCAGAUACACCCCUUCCACUUCCGCCCCGUCCCCGCCCCGUCCCCGCCCCCGCGGAGUUCCCGCAUCCCCGACACAGGGCGCACGACCCUGUCUCCGGGAUCUGAAGGGCCAGAACAGAAUGCACAUCACGCCUCAGUCAGAAGGGGAGGAAACAGCACUUUGCAGCCUUCUAUGAACCAGAAGGCAGGAUCACCUUGUUUCAUUCUUAUCCUCAAAUAAAAGACAACUGAAGCCUU